UCUCCUUCUUCCCAAAAAGCUUCCCUUCCCUUCUCCUUCAUCUUCGCUUUUGUUCUUCGCUUCCUCCAGAAAUCACCGGUGAGCUUUGGUUUCUGGCGAAAAGCGGACGGCUGGUCGAAGCAGAGCGGUUGCGUCCCCGAGUAUCCUCUGCCUUCGCCUCCAACAUGUGGCUCGUCACCUCCGCCUCCACCUUGUAGCUGUCGGCUCCGCUACGUCACCGUGGCCUUCGCCUCGUGGCUGUGGGCUCCGCUCGUUGCCGUCGGCUCCGCUCCGCUAAUGUGGAUGGUCACAGUGGAGUUUUGUUGAAUCAUUUUGGUUUGACGGAAGCAAGGAUAACCAGUUGGCAGGGGUCAUAGGAGGGAGUGGGAGGAAUGAACAUAAUUCCAGCAGUGACCCAAGUUUUCCUAAAUCACUUUGUCCUGGGAAUGGAACCAUUGGAUGCUGUUGAGUAUCCAAGGUUCUCCCGCAGCUGAAACCGAAUGUGGCAUUGUACGAAAACUGCACCUGCAUCGAUGGUGAUCACGCGUUGAGCUUGCGGAUGAACGAAAGCUUUUCCUAAAGGGGAGAGGUCAUAAGUUGGAAGCCAGAGCGGCAGGAGCAAUUGUUCAGCUUGUCGUUCAGAGUCUACAAAACACGCCCGAUUCGGGUCGCAAAAGUUGCGAGGACUUGAAUUGUGGAGUCGUCCGUGGAACUCUUACUGAUGUGAGUGAUCCUAGAAAAGAUGGGAGGCCUGCUGCGGUUUGAUAUUUCUUGUAACUAAUAGUGAACUAGAGAAAUGGCGGGAUUAGAAUGAUCUUGCGGUGCGAAUACAUGGAAGCUGCAAGUGAUGAUGCUUGUAUUAUUGAAUGUAAGAAUCAGGAUCUUGUAUUUUUGUAUGGCACAAUUACUUGGGAAGGUACAGCCCAGGCUGAGAAAUUGUUCCAAAGGAAUUGAGAAAUAAGUGCUUUAUAAAGAUAGAUGGUGAAUGAUAUUGAGAU
Syzygium oleosum is the source of this 977-nucleotide long non-coding RNA. RefSeq lists it as uncharacterized. The record is from RefSeq and is a predicted model, not a curated record. NCBI's taxonomy places the organism in Eukaryota, Viridiplantae, Streptophyta, Magnoliopsida, Myrtales, Myrtaceae. The transcript is spliced from 3 exons.